This 71-nucleotide transfer RNA is filed under the name Homo sapiens (human). RNAcentral describes it as "tRNA-pseudo Likely pseudogene". Lineage: Eukaryota; Metazoa; Chordata; Mammalia; Primates; Hominidae. The record is from RNAcentral.
GGGUUUCUAGCUCAGAGGAAGAGCAUUUGCCUGCAGGUCAAGAGGUCCAUGGUGCAAAUUUAGUGCCUCUU